RNAcentral lists this ribosomal RNA (253 nucleotides) under uncultured prokaryote. RNAcentral describes it as "partial 16S ribosomal RNA". It matches the Rfam family "Bacterial small subunit ribosomal RNA", at positions 525 to 777 of the family's 1533-position model. The record is from RNAcentral.
ACGGGGGGGGCAAGCGUUGUUCGGAAUUACUGGGCGUAAAGGGCUCGUAGGUGGCCAACUAAGUCAGACGUGAAAUCCCUCGGCUUAACCGGGGAACUGCGUCUGAUACUGGAUGGCUUGAGUGUGGGAGAGGGAUGCGGAAUUCCAGGUGUAGCGGUGAAAUGCGUAGAUAUCAGGAGGAACACCUGUGGCGAAGGCGUCCAUCUGGCCCGUUACUGACGCUGAGGCGCGAAAGCUAGGGGAGCAAACGGGA